CAGCAGCCGCGGUAAUACGUAGGGCGCAAGCGUUAUCCGGAAUUAUUGGGCGUAAAGAGCUCGUAGGCGGUUUGUCGCGUCUGCCGUGAAAGUCCGGGGCUCAACCCCGGAUCUGCGGUGGGUACGGGCAGACUAGAGUGAUGUAGGGGAGACUGGAAUUCCUGGUGUAGCGGUGAAAUGCGCAGAUAUCAGGAGGAACACCGAUGGCGAAGGCAGGUCUCUGGGCAUUAACUGACGCUGAGGAGCGAAAGCAUGGGGAGCGAACAGGAUUAGAUACCCCGUGUAGUCCCUGUCUCUUAUA
This 301-nucleotide ribosomal RNA is filed under the name uncultured bacterium. RNAcentral's name for it is "partial 16S ribosomal RNA". It matches the Rfam family "Bacterial small subunit ribosomal RNA", at positions 509 to 808 of the family's 1533-position model. The record is from RNAcentral.